UACGGAGGAUGCAAGCGUUAUCCGGAUUUAUUGGGUUUAAAGGGUGCGUAGGCGGAUAUGUAAGUCAGCGGUGAAACUCACAGGCUCAACCUGUGCCGUGCCGUUGAAACUGUGUAUCUGGAAUGCGGAUGCUGUGGGAGGAAUGUGUAGUGUAGCGGUGAAAUGCGUAGAGAUUAGGAGGAACACCGAUGGCGAAGGCAGGUCUCUGGGCCACUACUGACGCUGAGAAGCGAAAGCAUGGGGAGCGAACAGGA
Molecule: ribosomal RNA, 254 nt
Filed under: uncultured prokaryote
Description: partial 16S ribosomal RNA
Rfam family: Bacterial small subunit ribosomal RNA
Source: RNAcentral